GACGAACGCUGGCGGCGUGCUUAACACAUGCAAGUCGAACGGAAAGUCCCUGCUUUUGUGGGGUGCUCGAGUGGCGAACGGGUGAGUAACACGUGGGUAACCUGUCCUUGACUUUGGGAUAACUUCAUGAAACUGGGUCUAAUACCGGAUAGGAGCUCCUGCUGCUGGGUGGGGGUGGGAAAGUUUCGGCAGUUGGGGAUGUACUCGCCGCUUAUCAGCUUGUUGGAUGGGUAGUGGCUUACCAAGGCUUUGACAGGUAGCCGGCCUGAGAGGGUGACCCGACAAGUUGGGACUGGGAUGCGGCCCAGCCUACACCGGGAGGGAGCAGAGGAGUAUAGUGUACUAUGGGCGGAAGCCAGAUCCAGCAAAGCCGCGUGCGGGAUGUCGGCAAUCGGGUUGGAAUCCGAUGUUGUCUGUGCCGAAACGUGAGUGACGGUAAUGGGUGAAGAAGCACCGGCUAACUACGUG
Molecule: ribosomal RNA, 468 nt
Filed under: uncultured bacterium
Lineage: Bacteria
Description: partial 16S ribosomal RNA
Rfam family: Bacterial small subunit ribosomal RNA
Source: RNAcentral